GCACAAGCGGUGGAGCAUGUGGUUUAAUUCGACGCAACGCGAAGAACUUACCAGGGCUUGACAUCCCUGACGCGUAUGAAAGUACGUUUUCACCUCGGGUGACAGGGAGACAGGUGGUGCAUGGUUGUCGUCAGCUCGUGUCGUGAGAUGUUGGGUUAAGUCCCGCAACGAGCGCAACCCCUACGUUUAGUUGCUAACGCGUGAAGGCGAGCACUCUAGACGAACUGCCGUUGACAAAACGGAGGAAGGUGGGGAUGACGUCAAAUCAUCAUGCCCCUUAUGUUCUGGGCUACACACGUGCUACAAUGGCCGGUACAGACGGACGCAAAGCCGCGAGGUGGAGCAAAUACCUAAAAAGCCGGUCUCAGUUCGGAUUGCAGGCCGCAAUUCGCCUGCAUGAAGUCGGAAUCGCUAGUAAUCGCAGGUCAGCAUACUGCGGUGAAUACGUUCCCGGGCCUU
This 459-nucleotide ribosomal RNA is filed under the name uncultured Pelotomaculum sp. Its description in RNAcentral is "bacterial SSU rRNA". It matches the Rfam family "Bacterial small subunit ribosomal RNA", at positions 923 to 1382 of the family's 1533-position model. The record is from RNAcentral. Lineage: Bacteria; Bacillati; Bacillota; Clostridia; Eubacteriales; Desulfotomaculaceae.